RNAcentral lists this ribosomal RNA (401 nucleotides) under uncultured bacterium. Its description in RNAcentral is "partial 16S ribosomal RNA". It matches the Rfam family "Bacterial small subunit ribosomal RNA", at positions 360 to 773 of the family's 1533-position model. The record is from RNAcentral.
AAUCUUGCGCAAUGGGCGAAAGCCUGACGCAGCGACGCCGCGUGUGGGAAGAAGGCCUUCGGGUUGUAAACCACUUUCAGGAGGGAAGAAGCGAAAGUGACGGUACCUCCAGAAGAAGCCCCGGCCAACUACGUGCCAGCAGCCGCGGUAAUACGUAGGGGGCGAGCGUUGUCCGGAAUUAUUGGGCGUAAAGAGCUCGUAGGCGGUCCUUUAAGUCGGAGGUGAAAUCUCAGGGCUCAACCCUGAAAUUGCCUUCGAUACUGGAGGACUUGAGGCAGGUAGGGGAGAACGGAAUUCCUGGUGUAGCGGUGAAAUGCGCAGAUAUCAGGAGGAACACCGGUGGCGAAGGCGGUUCUCUGGGCCUGUUCUGACGCUGAGGAGCGAAAGCGUGGGGAGCAAAC